Molecule: ribosomal RNA, 499 nt
Filed under: uncultured Glomeromycotina
Lineage: Eukaryota; Fungi; Glomeromycota
Description: partial small subunit ribosomal RNA
Rfam family: Eukaryotic small subunit ribosomal RNA
Source: RNAcentral
CCAAUAGCGUAUAUUGAAGUUGUUGCAGUUAAAAAGCUCGUAGUUGAAUUUCGGGAUCAAUAUAUUGGUCAUGCUUAGGUAUGUACUGGUAUUAUUGAUUUCUCCCUUCUGAAGAACCAUGAUGUCAUUAAUUUGAGGUCGUGGGGAAUCAGGACUGUUACUUUGAAAAAAUUAGAGUGUUUAAAGCAGGCUUUCGCUUGAAUACAUUAGCAUGGAAUAAUGAAAUAGGACGUUUGAUUCUAUUUUGUUGGUUUCUAGGAUCGACGUAAUGAUUAAUAGGGAUAGUUGGGGGCAUUAGUAUUCAAUUGUCAGAGGUGAAAUUCUUGGAUUUAUUGAAGACUAACUACUGCGAAAGCAUUUGCCAAGGAUGUUUUCAUUAAUCAAGAACGAAAGUUAGGGGAUCGAAGACGAUCAGAUACCGUCGUAGUCUUAACCAUAAACUAUGCCGACUAGGGAUCGGAUGAUGUUAAUUUUUUAAUGACUCAUUCGGCGCCUUACG